RNAcentral lists this non-coding RNA (795 nucleotides) under Anallacta methanoides. Lineage: Eukaryota; Metazoa; Arthropoda; Insecta; Blattodea; Blattellidae. The record is from RNAcentral.
UAAGAGUUUUAUUCUUGUUCAAUUAUUUAUUUUAGUUUUGUAUUAUAUGUAAAUUUUUGUAUAUUAUUUUAUUCUAAAUGAUUAUAAUGAUUUAUUUUUCAAUAAUAGGAAUUAUUAAUUAAGGUAACUUAUUUUAGUAAUAUUUUUUUAAUUUUGAUUAAAUAUGUGCCAGCAAUCGCGGUUAUACAUAUAAUGUAAAUAAAUAUUUUUGGUUAUGGUAGUUAAAUUGAUAGUUUUUGAUUGUAUAAAUUAAAUUGUUUGGUGGAAUUUUAAUUUAUAAAUAUGUUUAUUUAAUUGAUUUUGAGGCUGUGAAAUCUAAUUUUUAAACUAGGAUUAGAUACCCUAUUAUUUUAGAUUUAAAAUGAAUUAAUUUGAGUAGUAUUAGAUAUAGUCUUGAAACUUAAAGAAUUUGGCGGUACUUCAUUCUAUUUAGAGGAAUUUGUCCCGUAAUCGAUAAUCCGCGUUGAACCUUACUUAUAUUUAAUAUUAUAAUAUGUAUACCGCUGUUUUAUAGAAGAUCAUAUUAGGGUAUAAAUUUUCUUGAUUUUUUUAGUAGUAAAUAUUUCAAGUCAAGGUGCAGUUUAUGUAUAAGAGGAGAUGAAUUACAAUAUAUUAUUUAUUAAAUGGAUUAAAUUUUUAGAUAGAUUUAUGAAGGUGGAUUUAAUAGUAAUUUUAUUUAGAUUAAUUAAUAUGAAAUUAGUUCUGAAGUGAGUACAUAUCGCCCGUCGCUCUCAUUAUUUAAGGUGAGAUAAGUCGUAACAUAGUAGUUGUACUGGAAGGUGUAGCUAGAAUAAU